This 1606-nucleotide ribosomal RNA is filed under the name metagenome. Its description in RNAcentral is "bacterial LSU rRNA". It matches the Rfam family "Bacterial large subunit ribosomal RNA", at positions 1298 to 2925 of the family's 2925-position model. The record is from RNAcentral.
CGGAAUGAGUAGCGAGAGGAAGGUGGGAAUCCUUCCGGCCGAAUAUCUAAGGUUUCCAGAGUAAAGCUGAUCUGCUCUGGGUAAGUCGGGGCCUAAGGAGAGGUCGAAAGACGUAUCCGAUGGACAACAGGUUUAGAUUCCUGUACCACAUAUAAACAGAACUGUGGGGACGCAUGUGGAAAGCAUAAGCCGGGAAUGGAAAUACCGGUACAAACGGAAGAGGUGUCAGGCUGGCAAAUCCGCCUGAUAAGCCAAAGACGUGAUGUGGAGCGAAAUAAAAGUAGCGAAGUAUGUGAGCCAUGUGCCGAGAAAAGCUGCUAUCGUUUUAUAUGUGCCCGUACCGUAAACCGACACAGGUGGAUGAGGAGAGAAUCCUAAGGCCGACGGAAGAAGCAUUGUUAAGGAACUCGGCAAAAUGACCCCGUAACUUCGGGAGAAGGGGUGCCCACUUCAGGGUGGGCCGCAGAGAAUAGGCUCAAGCAACUGAUUAGCAAAAACACAGGUCUAUGCGAAACCGUAAGGUGAAGUAUAUGGGCUGACGCCUGCCCGGUGCUGGAAGGUUAAGAGGAGAGGUUAGUCGCAAGAUGAAGCUUUGAAUUUAAGCCCCAGUAAACGGCGGCCGUAACUAUAACGGUCCUAAGGUAGCGAAAUUCCUUGUCGGGUAAGUUCCGACCCGCACGAAAGGCGUAAUGAUUUGAGCACUGUCUCGACAAUGCAUCCGGUGAAAUUGAAGUACCAGUGAAGAUGCUGGUUACCCGCGCCAGGACGGAAAGACCCCAUGGAGCUUUACUCCAGUUUGGUACUGGGAUUCGGUACUGCAUGUACAGGAUAGGUGGGAGACUGAGAAAUUGGAACGCCAGUUUCAAUGGAGUCACUGUUGGGAUACCACCCCUGCAGUAUUGGGUUUCUAACCAGCCGCUGUGAUCCAGCGGUGGGACAAUGCCAGGCGGGGAGUUUGACUGGGGCGGUCGCCUCCGAAAGGGUAUCGGAGGCGCUCAAAGGUUCCCUCAGAAUGGUCGGAAACCAUUUUAAGAGUGCAAAGGCAGAAGGGAGCUUGACUGCGACACCGACGGGUGGAGCAGGUACGAAAGUAGGACUUAGUGAUCCGGUGGCAUAAAGUGGGAUUGCCAUCGCUCAACGGAUAAAAGCUACCCUGGGAUAACAGGCUUAUCACUCCCAAGAGUUCACAUCGACGGAGUGGUUUGGCACCUCGAUGUCGGCUCAUCGCAUCCUGGGGCUGUAGCAGGUCCCAAGGGUUGGGCUGUUCGCCAUUAAAGCGGUACGCGAGCUGGGUUCAGAACGUCGUGAGACAGUUCGGUCCCUAUCCGGCGCGGGCGGAGGAUAUUUGAGAGGAGCUGUCCUUAGUACGAGAGGACCGGGAUGGACGGACCACUGGUGUAUCUGCUGUCGACCAACGGCAUGGCAGAGUAGCCAAGUCCGGAAGGGAUAAACGCUGAAGGCAUCUAAGCGUGAAGCCCCCCUCAAGAUGAGAUAUCCCUCACAUAAGUGAGUAAGAUCCCUUGAAGAGUACAAGGUAGAUAGGGCAGAGGUGGAAGCAUGGUAACAUGUGGAGCUGACUGUUACUAAUCGAUCGAGGGCUUGACCU